This 66-nucleotide transfer RNA is filed under the name Ptiliidae sp. BMNH 1274726. Its description in RNAcentral is "tRNA-Asn". The record is from RNAcentral. Lineage: Eukaryota; Metazoa; Arthropoda; Insecta; Coleoptera; Ptiliidae.
UUAAUCAAAACCAAAUUAGAGGUAUAUUACUGUUAAUAAUAUUAGUGAAUUAAUAUUCUGAUUAAU